Long non-coding RNA from Candoia aspera, 2377 nucleotides. RefSeq lists it as uncharacterized. NCBI's taxonomy places the organism in Eukaryota, Metazoa, Chordata, Lepidosauria, Squamata, Candoiidae. The record is from RefSeq and is a predicted model, not a curated record. The transcript is spliced from 4 exons.
AAGGUUGAGCAACAGUGAUCUAGAGACGCCAUAAAAUAACUUUUGUAUUUGCACACACCAUUAGCAUAAGCUAAGACAGGGUUGCAUUGUUUAUGAGUCAGCAUGUGAUAGGAAACCAGCCACUGUCCUAAUAUGCUAUGUGCAUCAGGACAGCACCUUAACCUGUAAUAUGAUUUAUUUGGACAUAACAUGUUAUCUGAACAGAGCAAUCUUGUUUUCUUGACAGGGUGUAGCAUGCUGUCUGAGCACAGCUAAUGGAUCAUGUGAACAUAAUUCACAGAUAAACUUUUCAGACACCUUUCCUCCCCAGAAAAUGAGAGGAAGCUUUUGAGGGUGAGUAUAUCUGCACGUCACCUUCCCUUUAUUUGAAUAUAUCUGUCCCAUAUUGGGUUUUGAUAUGACAACAUUAUAGAUAGAUAGAUAGAUCUAUAGAACUAGGUUUAAUGACACAUACAGUAAAUGUCAAAUGUUUUAGAAGCAGAAGUAUGGAUAAUGUGUCUAUGCCAUUUUACCCUCUACAUCAUUUUAACCUGUCAUUUACUGGUGAUAUUCAUUCUCAGAAUAUAAAGACUAUCAGUGUGAUACAUUUUGCAAAUUGUCUAGAAUCUGAAGAACCUGCAAAGAAAGAAAGUACAAAAGGCGGUUUGUAAUAAGACACAGCAGUGUUCAGCUGUUCAAGAAAAGCAAUCACGCAGAAAGUGCAAGGAUUAUCCCCAACCACCAGUUUCUUCUCAUUUCUCCCCCACUUUCUUGCUGCUGACUGUUUUGAUCUGGGGUGGAGUGGCCCACUGUGAUCUGUGAGCUACUCCAGACUGUGUUGGGUGAGAAGUGUUAUCAUUAGGCCUACCAUCUCAAAUGAGAAAUACGUGGAUAAGUUGUUCUGUUGAUAGCUAACCGCAGAGGAAAAAAGGGAAUUGUUUCUUCCAGUAACCAAGGAGGAGGAGGUGAGGGCUUCUGCAGGAAGCAUAUGUCCACAGGAAUAUAACAACCACAUUUUCUUUGUUUGUUGCCUCUCUAUGUUGACAGUUGUCAAUCUCCCUGCCUUUUCUGAAACCUGUGAAAGAGUUCCUUUAAUCUUCUGCAAUUAUAGUCAAGCUGUUGUCAUCAAUUCCUUUUCAAAUAUUUCUUCCUCAAAGGCAUGUACACACCUUUGACAUUAUCCCAGUUUGGCUAUACAUCUUUUAGAUGUGGUUGAAGUUUACUUGGAAGGACUACAUGCUCCAGGAAGAAGCUGUCCAAUAUUUUGACAGGUGCAAGAUCAUAAUAAAUGAUUCAUCCUGCACUCUUGACUCUCUUACUUUCUCAUGUCUUUCCUGGGUUAAUGCAAAGUGGUGAUCUGGCAGUCUCUUGCUAUUUCAUAUCUAUAUAAACCAAAAAGUGGGGGGUAAGUCAAAGUGGAAAUAAACUAUAUGUAAGCUUCUCUCUCCUAGACUGAAUAUACCCUAAAAUCUUGUGUCCAAGGAACAUUGCUGAAGGCCUUCUGCUUCUUUAGCGUUCUCAUUCUUUAUGUGCUACUUCCUUCUUCUGGAUUUUGAGUUGAAUUCAAGUCCAGUGACAUAAAGGUUUUGACCCCUAGGAGUGUUAUGAAACAAUGGAUAAAGGGACACCAGAGAUAACUUCCUUUCUGAGCAGGUUUAACCAUCUUAAUGGAUGCUGAAUGAAAAGCAACAAUAUGAUUCCAGAGGCCUGUAUGGAGCCUGAGUGGUUUUUUAAUUAUUAUUUUGUCUUUUAGCACAUUGCGUUUGCCUUUCAAAAGAAAUAUAGUCAUGCCUAGAGGUGCAAUGGUAUGUGGGAAUGACGUUGGGAGGCAGGAGGAAGAGCUGCAGACUAGCCAAUGGUCAGACAAGCAGCAGCUGAGUCCGCAGAAGGAAUGGGGGUGUGGCAAACAUUUCAGAAGGGACCCUUCCUAGUUUCUUGGACUGUCAUGGCAAGGGGUGGGGGAGAUGUGCUUUCAGACUUGCAAGAUUCUGUUAAUGUAACCUUACAAUAAGGUUAGAGGUAGUGCUUCUGGGUGUACUUCUCAUCUGGACUACUCCGCAGGGCUGACAAGAGGGCACAAAGCUUCUAUGCCAAACUCUGACCAUAUGACCUGACAUACUCAGUAGAGGGAAUCAGGGGCGAGGGCUGUCUUGAUAUGGCUGCCUCGGGAAAGAGAAAGUUAAAUCAGUUUAAACCUGCCAGUGUUUUGCAAGUUGUAGCAGUUUAAGAGUAGUUUAAGAGAAUUUGGUUUAAGACAAGGAAACACUCUUCAUUGUUUUGUUUCGUUUUCUGACACUGAUGAAUGAAAGUGGCUACCUUCAAAAUGAAAAUGAAACCCAGAUUUCAGGAAUGAUGUAAGCAAGAUCAUCCUUCCCUUUAAAGAUGUGGUCAAAUUUUA